RNAcentral lists this ribosomal RNA (427 nucleotides) under uncultured bacterium. RNAcentral's name for it is "partial 16S ribosomal RNA". It matches the Rfam family "Bacterial small subunit ribosomal RNA", at positions 355 to 774 of the family's 1533-position model. The record is from RNAcentral.
UGGGGAAUAUUGCACAAUGGGCGCAAGCCUGAUGCAGCCAUGCCGCGUGUAUGAAGAAGGCCUUCGGGUUGUAAAGUACUUUCAGCGAGGAGGAAGGCGGUAAGGUUAAUAACCUUAUCGAUUGACGUUACUCGCAGAAGAAGCACCGGCUAACUCCGUGCCAGAAGCCGCGGUAAUACGGAGGGUGCAAGCGUUAAUCGGAAUUACUGGGCGUAAAGCGCACGCAGGCGGUCUGUCAAGUCGGAUGUGAAAUCCCCGGGCUCAACCUGGGAACUGCAUUCGAAACUGGCAGGCUAGAGUCUUGUAGAGGGGGGUAGAAUUCCAGGUGUAGCGGUGAAAUGCGUAGAGAUCUGGAGGAAUACCGGUGGCGAAGGCGGCCCCCUGGACAAAGACUGACGCUCAGGUGCGAAAGCGUGGGGAGCAAACA